RNAcentral lists this small RNA (126 nucleotides) under Rouxiella sp. S1S-2. RNAcentral's name for it is "RtT sRNA". It matches the Rfam family "RtT RNA". Rfam says of the family: This family represents a bacterial cis-regulatory element known as RtT RNA. The exact function of RtT is unknown although it is thought that it may be involved in changing the cellular response in relation to amino acid starvation. The record is from RNAcentral. Lineage: Bacteria; Pseudomonadati; Pseudomonadota; Gammaproteobacteria; Enterobacterales; Yersiniaceae.
UAAAAUUUUAAUCCGUAAGGGUUGAGAACCUGCAACAGGUUCGAGCCGAGCGAAGCGAGACGACAACGCGUUAGCGUUGCCCGUAGGGCGAGUCCAAACGACGAGUCAAUCCCGCACGGCCCACCA